This 427-nucleotide ribosomal RNA is filed under the name uncultured bacterium. RNAcentral describes it as "bacterial SSU rRNA". It matches the Rfam family "Bacterial small subunit ribosomal RNA", at positions 355 to 774 of the family's 1533-position model. The record is from RNAcentral.
UGGGGAAUUUUGGUCAAUGGGCGCAAGCCUGAUCCAGCCAUGCCGCGUGAGUGAAGAAGGCCUUCGGGUUGAAAAGCUCUUUCGGUUGGGAAGAAAUUGCCUGGGUUAAUACCUCAGGUAGAUGACGGUACCAGCAUAAGAAGCACCGGCUAACUACGUGCCAGCAGCCGCGGUAAUACGUAGGGUGCGAGUGUUAAUCGGAAUUACUGGGCGUAAAGCGUGCGCAGGCGGUUGUGUAAGUCAGAUGUGAAAUCCCCGGGCUCAACCUGGGAACUGCAUUUGAGACUGCACGGCUAGAGUGUGGCAGAGGGGGGUAGAAUUCCACGUGUAGCAGUGAAAUGCGUAGAGAUGUGGAGGAAUACCGAUGGCGAAGGCAGCCCCCUGGGCCAAUACUGACGCUCAUGCACGAAAGCGUGGGGAGCAAACA